Long non-coding RNA from Maniola jurtina (meadow brown), 707 nucleotides. RefSeq lists it as uncharacterized. Lineage: Eukaryota; Metazoa; Arthropoda; Insecta; Lepidoptera; Nymphalidae. The transcript is spliced from 2 exons. The record is from RefSeq and is a predicted model, not a curated record.
UCCUGUGUCAAUCGUUCAUUUUCUGCGAUUCGGUCGUUCAAGUACUGAUUACAGCAACGACUGAGAUCUUUUCAGUCGUUCAUCAGUCAUCAGUCAUUUUUUCGGUACUUCGGUCCAAUCAGUCUCUUCGUUCCUCACGAAUGUAUCGGUAUUCGGUACUCAGUCUCAGUCGUCAGUCUCAGUCGUGAAUCGGACGAUGAGACUCCAAGACGUCUCGAUUGCGCACGCUCGUUUCGUAUAGUUUCGCGUUUCGUUAUAGGUCGUCCGACGACGCGGGUUCAAAAUCGCUGCAUUAUUGUAAUAUUUUUCCCGAUUGUAUGCACUAUUAUGAUGUAAUUGCCUAUCUUUUUAAUUGAGCUUUUAUUUUUAAACGUGUUUAAUCAUUAUGUUAAGAUUUAUAGAUACUAAAACCUUAUGCAUCUCAUAUACCUACACGUGUUGCCUAAAUGAAGUAGGUAGAUACCUACGAUUUUACAAUGAACAUAACAACAAGGUUUCAUUCUUCGUUCUCGGUGGUUCUCGGUUCGUGGCGACUGGUUGAACCGGAUCGGUCAAAAACGACUGAUUCGUUCAUCAGUACUUUUGCGCGACCUCAGUCAAAUGACCGAAUCGGUCGCGACUGACACAGGACUACUGGGUUGACCUCUGCGAUUAUCCCUAAUGUGGAUAACUCGGACGCGUAAUUUUUGGUAGUGGGGACUGCGUAC